GUCUACGGCCAUAGCACCUUGAAAAUGUUUGAUCUCCUCUGAUCUUGUAAGCUAAGCAGGAGUGGGCCUAAUUAGUACUUGGAUGAGAGAGAAAGAGGUGAGAGA
Gorilla gorilla gorilla (western lowland gorilla) is the source of this 105-nucleotide ribosomal RNA. The record is from Ensembl. Lineage: Eukaryota; Metazoa; Chordata; Mammalia; Primates; Hominidae.